AAGGAAGGUAAAAACGGAAAGCCAACGCAAUCACCGCAAGUUGGCAUUCCUCCUACAUCGCAAGGCUUGAAGGCACCCUCCUGCGACAUCCUCGCUUGAUUCGUCCGCCGCUCGGCGUCCUCGACCUCGCGAGCCCUCGCCUUCUACCUCGCGCCGUUGCCAAUCGUCGCCCUCGCCAACUCAGAAUGAGAAAUCCGGCUUCCUCAGGCUCAGCCUCGUCGGCUGCUAUCUCAGCAACGACGAAGAUCUCAUCGAAUGGGCCAAGAUCCACACGGCCAGAAUGAGGUGGUGGUGUCGUAUGACAUCCUGGAAGCCCCUGCUCUUCUGCGUAAUCCUAAAUCUGAUGCAUGAGACUAGAUUGAUUUGUCUAAGUAACAAAUGCAGACAUUAAGGCAACCAAGAAGCUGCUUGACAGUGCUCAAGCUCAGCAGCGGCCUUGGGAUGACGAUGGGUGCACCAGACCCAAAUCGGUCAUCGGCUGGCUAAAACAUCAUGACUAAUGCAGCGUUCCUACAAAUUUCACCAGUCGAUCUUGUUUCUAUCUUUUAUGGUGACAUCUAUCUUUUAUGGUGACACUUGGUAGCAACAUUUUUCUCGUACAGUUAGUAUGGCAGAAAUAAUCUUAUCAUGAACUCCAACACUCAUGAACUCCAUUCAUAA
Molecule: long non-coding RNA, 660 nt
Organism: Sorghum bicolor (sorghum)
Lineage: Eukaryota; Viridiplantae; Streptophyta; Magnoliopsida; Poales; Poaceae
Exons: 4
Source: RefSeq, a predicted model, not a curated record